This 328-nucleotide long non-coding RNA is filed under the name Triticum aestivum (bread wheat). RNAcentral describes it as "long non-coding RNA (TAES_LNC018326)". Lineage: Eukaryota; Viridiplantae; Streptophyta; Magnoliopsida; Poales; Poaceae. The record is from RNAcentral.
UAAGGCACAUGGACGGAAAAUGUGUAUCCUGAAGAGUGAAGAGACAACCAUCCACGCCGCGCCUCGCACUCCAUCAACUGAUCAGCUAAGCACCCCACUAGUCAGCAAGAUUGGACCACGCCUUCCAGCCCCAGGGCUGCAUGAAGGUGUGUUUUUUUCACACCCUGUGCCUUAUCACCACGGCAACAAUUUUUCCGUCUGCACAACCCUAACUUUUCUUACACAUUUUUUACAGGUGCGUUGUCUGCCAGUAGUUCAAUUUCGAGGAAAAGGGAUGGAAGCUUAUCAUCAAGUAUACAAUCUGGUCCGUCGAAGAGGCUUUGUUUAC